GGAUAGUGUCCCUAGGAGGCGGAUAGGAUUCAGCACUCUAGAAUUGUCUCACUAUUUGAAUAGGUGCUCAGCCCUUUGGAAUCUGUCAUCGGAAAGACCAUGGCUUUCUGGCUUUUCCUCUUUUUGGAUGGCUGCUUGUCACAAUAUUGUCUUCUUCGCUUUAGACAAA
Molecule: unclassified non-coding RNA, 169 nt
Organism: Chlorocebus sabaeus (green monkey)
Lineage: Eukaryota; Metazoa; Chordata; Mammalia; Primates; Cercopithecidae
Source: Ensembl